GUUGACCAUAUCAACAGUGGCCAGGUUAAGGAUGUAGGUCACAUAGGGGCUGCUCCAGACCUCUCAGACAACUGAAAAAGGACUAAUCUGCUUAUAGAUGGAGAGCUAACAGAAGUGGAGAGACAAAGACCUGUCCACGAGAAGUCUCAUGCCCCUUCCUUCACUCUGACACCUCCUUAACAUGCUCCUGAAAUGUCAGCAUCAUGAGACAUGAGCUACACAAUGAUGCAGUAUGGGAAUUAAGAGAAUCUGGAAUUGUGGAGCAGACUUCGCAAGGCUUCUCUGACCUCUGCCUCCCGCUCUGGGAUCUGUGAAACACACUGGGCUCUUCUUCUAGACCUCCCUUUUUGAAGCUCCUCCAAAGACCGUUUCAUCAUCUCUACUCAACAGUCUCCUCAGGAAAUUGCCUCUUCAGUAGGCAAAUGUCACUUGCCACAAACUUAUCUUUGGCAUGAGGAUAAGACAGUGCUAAGGUAGAACUGUCUGUACCUUCUUUGGGUUUACAUUGUGAUAACUGCAAGGAGAAAAAUAAAUUGGGCUGAGUGGAUAGAAAA
Molecule: long non-coding RNA, 554 nt
Filed under: Homo sapiens (human)
Lineage: Eukaryota; Metazoa; Chordata; Mammalia; Primates; Hominidae
Description: HSALNT0333545
Source: RNAcentral